CGUGUAGGUGGCUAGUUAAGUCGGGUGUGAAAGCCCUGGGCUCAACCGAGGAAGUGCAUUCGAAACUAGCUGGCUAGAAGAUAGUAGAGGAAGGUGGAAUUCCAAGUGUAGAGGUGAAAUUCGUAGAUAUUUGGAGGAAUACCGGCGGCGAAGGCGGCCUUCUGGGCUAUUCUUGACACUGAGACGCGAAAGCGUGGGGAGCAAACA
Molecule: ribosomal RNA, 207 nt
Filed under: uncultured bacterium
Lineage: Bacteria
Description: partial 16S ribosomal RNA
Rfam family: Bacterial small subunit ribosomal RNA
Source: RNAcentral